UCACGGUAUCAAGCUUGGCUUGUUGUUGGGCUCUUUGUCACCUGGUGACAGGUCCGAAAGACAAUGACCGGUGGAACAGACUCCAUAUGCAACGAGCUUAUAACAGCACGCAUCUGGCAGUUGUGUGACCCGGUUUUAACCUAUAUUUUCCGUUCUUUCUCAA
Molecule: unclassified non-coding RNA, 163 nt
Filed under: uncultured Chaetothyriales
Lineage: Eukaryota; Fungi; Ascomycota; Eurotiomycetes; Chaetothyriales
Description: sequence contains ITS2
Source: RNAcentral